GGGGAAUAUUGCACAAUGGGGGAAACCCUGAUGCAGCGACGCCGCGUGGAGGAAGAAGGUCUUCGGAUUGUAAACUCCUGUUGUUGAGGAAGAUAAUGACGGUACUCAACAAGGAAGUGACGGCUAACUACGUGCCAGCAGCCGCGGUAAAACGUAGGUCACAAGCGUUGUCCGGAAUUACUGGGUGUAAAGGGCGUGUAGGCGGAGAUGCAAGUUGGGAGUGAAAUCCAUGGGCUCAACCCAUGAACUGCUCUCAAAACUGUAUCCCUUGAGUAUCGGAGAGGCAAGCGGAAUUCCUAGUGUAGCGGUGAAAUGCGUAGAUAUUAGGAGGAACACCAGUGGCGAAGGCGGCUUGCUGGACGACAACUGACGCUGAGGCGCGAAAGCGUGGGGAGCAAACAGGAUUAGAUACCCUGGUAGUCCACGCUGUAAACGAUGAAUACUAGGUGUGGGAGGACUGACCCCUUCCGUGCCGCAGUUAACACAAUAAGUAUUCCACCUGGGGAGUACGAUCGCAAGAUUGAAACUCAAAGGAAUUGACGGGGGCCCGCACAAGCAGUGGAUUAUGUGGUUUAAUUCGACGCAACGCGAAGAACCUUACCGGGAUUUGACAUCCUACUAACGAAGUAGAGAUACAUUAGGUGCCCUUCGGGGAAAGUAGAGACAGGUGGUGCAUGGUUGUCGUCAGCUCGUGUCGUGAGAUGUUGGGUUAAGUCCCGCAACGAGCGCAACCCCUAUUGUUAGUUGCUACGCAAGAGCACUCUAGCGAGACUGCCGUUGACAAAACGGAGGAAGGCGGGGACGACGUCAAAUCAUCAUGCCCCUUAUGUCCCGGGCUACACACGUAAUACAAUGGCGGUCAACAGAGGGAAGCAAUACAGUGAUGUGGAGCAAAUCCCCAAAAAUUGUCCCAGUUCAGAUUGUAGGCUGCAACUCGCCUACAUGAAGUCGGAAUUGCUAGUAAUCGUGGAUCAGCAUGCCACGGUGAAUACGUUCCCG
RNAcentral lists this ribosomal RNA (999 nucleotides) under uncultured bacterium. RNAcentral's name for it is "bacterial SSU rRNA". It matches the Rfam family "Bacterial small subunit ribosomal RNA", at positions 356 to 1376 of the family's 1533-position model. The record is from RNAcentral.